UACGGAGGGUGCAAACGUUGCUCGGAAUCAUUGGGCGUAAAGCGCACGUAGGCGGACCAUCAAGUCGGAUGUGAAAUCCCUCGGCUUAACUGAGGACGUGCAUUCGAAACUGAUGGCCUUGAGUACGAAAGAGGAUCGCGGAAUUCCCGGUGUAGAGGUGAAAUUCGUAGAUAUCGGGAGGAACACCAGUGGCGAAGGCGGCGAUCUGGGUCGAUACUGACGCUGAGGUGCGAAAGCGUGGGGAGCAAACAGG
This 253-nucleotide ribosomal RNA is filed under the name uncultured bacterium. RNAcentral's name for it is "partial 16S ribosomal RNA". It matches the Rfam family "Bacterial small subunit ribosomal RNA", at positions 524 to 776 of the family's 1533-position model. The record is from RNAcentral.